This 3083-nucleotide ribosomal RNA is filed under the name Triticum aestivum (bread wheat). Its description in RNAcentral is "partial small subunit ribosomal RNA". The record is from RNAcentral. Lineage: Eukaryota; Viridiplantae; Streptophyta; Magnoliopsida; Poales; Poaceae.
CCAUAUCCUAGAGAGCAACAGAGGGUGGGCGUAAAGAGGGGCGUAAAUGUGCGCGGGCAGGUUCGCUUGCGCUUUGCCUUCACCUGAUCAUCUUUCGUCGUCGUCGUAGGUUUGGGUUGGAAGGGUAGGUAGGAGGGGAGGGGAGGCAGCUGUGCGGUGUGUUGGUUUGGUUUGGUUUGGCUUUCGUCUCGCUCGCUCGCUCUCUCUCCUCCGGGCCGGUUUUCCUCGCCCCGCGCAGGGAGUAUUCGCCUCCCCGCCUCGCCGAGAGUGCAACGCCUUAAGCCUCCGGGGGUCCUUAUCGGUCGGCCAGCCCGGUCCGCGCCUCCGGCCUCCCGCCUCCGCCUCCUCCCCUACCCCUUGCACUGCAGCAGCCACCGCCGCGCCGACCGGAAGAAGGGCGGCCUCGGCCGCUGCAUGCUCCACCGCCGCCGCCUCCCGCCCCGGCCCGACGCCUACUGCCCCCACGACGGGCUGCGGUUGCAGCUGCACGUGCGCGACGGGUGGUCCCGCCCCUGGGCGCAGCAGCGGCGGAAGACCGCGAUGGGGUGUCGCGCGGAGUGCGACGAGAUGAGGGUGCCGUUGCGGCGGCUGGAGCCGGUCUACGAGCCGGAGAAGUACCUCGAGGCGAGGGUGGAGGCGCAGUUGUAGUACACCAGUCGGUGGGGAAGGGGGGCAGAGAGGGAGAGAGAGAUAGAGGGGGUGGGGGCAUCGGAGAUCAAAGGGAGUGUGCCGGCGCAGUACGAGGACGUAAGUGGAGUGGAGGGUGGGCGCGUUAGCUAUAAGUCCAAGUAGAAGACGCAAGCAGUUAUCAUAGACCGUCGAGGACGGAGACGUGUCGGAGGAAGGCUAACCUAAGCCGUCCGACAACCACCAGCAUAAGGAGUAGUAUAAGGCACAGACCCCACCAAAAUACCGAGGUCGCGUACGACUAAGCCAAGCUCCUCCUAAAUUAGCCUCGAAGCAGAAACAGCAGACGAUCCGUCGGUUGGCACUUAUUUAUUAUUCUAAUCCACCGCAAGCCUUAAAAAACUAACUGGACGUCUUCUAGACGACUUAUCGGACGAAGGUAAAUUUUUUUUUUUCAAACUAAGUCUGUGUUAAACCCAAAACGAAGAAGCACCUCUAUUAGACGAGGUUGGUAUAGGAUAGGAUCAGUGUUAAGGCCCCAUCUUUGUUUGUCGGUCAGCGGACGGAAACUAAUCAUGAUCCAGGGCCCAAUAUUAAUUAGGCCCCUCUUCUAGGGUCCAAAAAGUUGCCGAAGUUAAUAACAUCAUGGUCAGACAUGGUAUAGUAGUCCAAGACGAGACUACGACUGCUAAAGAGGAUAGGAUACCCACGAUAAGACGACAACAACGAAAGUCGUUACAGUCAGUCAGUCAGAACAAUAAUCACCGGUAGCUAGACGGUUACUGAUACUUGCAAGUCUGCAGUGACACCUACACCGUAUCCACGUAACAUUCCGGUAAACCACGACACAAAAUAUUCCUUAGCUUCUAAACUCUCACGAUUCAUAACAUGAUCAUAUAACAAAGGAACACCACAAACCUCCUGACGUCUACUAUUAGACGUACGAGGGAACCACCCGUGAGGUUAUCGAGAAACUUUAAACGCAAAAGAUACCCUAUAACCGUCUAGAGUAUAAGUACUCUAAAGAACAGACCACCUAGAACGACUACAGAUGCCGAACUGAAAACUCAUAAAAUGUGGUAAACUUUUCAUGAGGGAGACAUUUGAUUAUAUUCUCACAAAUCUAGUGAUAAAAUCACUAGAUUUGCGAGAAUAUAAUCAAAUGCCUCCUUCAUCAAAGAUAGACUUAGACUACCCUGACGUCUAAAGAACGGACCACCUAGAACGACUACCCUAAAAUGAGGUUGCUUAGAUCAUUUAGACAAAUGAACCAAAAGAACACGUCGAUACUGAUAAGUCCUAUACCCCGGAGAUGUCCUUUUGGUAGCCUCAUAUUGUGCAUGAUGCUGUAUCUCCGACAGAUACUGACAAACUUUUUCCUCAUACCCUAUCCCGUUCUCCUAGACUAGGACAUACCCGUUAGUCAACCUUCGCCUGGCUGCAACGUGAACCGGAGUGCAAACCUAUUUGAUUCUCCCCAGCAGGAAGUGUCGCCGUAAGACAGUCCGUAUGCGCAAAACAUAGGUCACUUUCACUGUGAAACCAAACUAUAGAAGUUCUUGUAGCUGUUUUAUUUCGUUCAGCUUACAGGUCACGACCAAUAUGUACCGUGCCGCCUGCUGUAGCAGCUGAAGAGCGUACCGUUCGCGGAUACCCUCGAUCGCUUCCUCUUCAUGCUCGGCGACACCCAGUUUCCGCCGCCGGUGACGUUGGACCUCUGCAUGGGGCUCAUGUAGGCCGUGGACGCCUUCAAGCACUUGCGCUACCUCUUCGACCGCUCCCUCGCUCGCUGUUUCCGCGGGGUCCAUGGCGGCAGCUCGUACCCGCUUCACUUUGUGUUGUUCACGAACUCUAAACCCUUCACUAGCUACUGGGAACUGGUACGGUCGAGAGCGAUUGACACAGCAACGAGCGCAUAUCUGUGACUACUAGACUGCCUCCUCGGCUUCUUCGGUCAGCGCCGCCUGCCGCCAGAGGGGCAGCCCGAGGCUACUGUACUGUGGUACCCCACCCCCCUUCACGUUGCCGCAGCAGCAGCGAAUAGCGGCCAGGCCAGCGCCCAAGUCCCAAUCUGUCCGAGGUACCGACCUUACACGACCUCUACUGACUUCUCUUUGUCUUCGGAUCACCUCCUUCGUACGCCCUUUAGUAUAUAUCGGACAACAACAACCCAUCACAAGUCAACCCCGAGAGAGGAAAAAGAAAAAAUAAGUCGGACACAUAAUCAACUACACGUUUCUUCACAGGUAGAGAGGAUUAACUAACGUUUCACGAAGCACACGACAGUCCGUCACACCGUAAACCCACAGACGAAGUAUCAAAGUCAAAGUCAAAGCAAAACGAAGAACAGACCCAACGACACGAGUCAAGUAUCGUCUCGGUUUGUCCUCCGUCUCCGAAUUUGAUGAAUUGGAAUUGGACGGACGUGCUGUUUAAGAACCAGAUGUUGUCACACU